AGCAAGAUCAGGCCUAACACAUGCAAGUCGAGCGGAAACGAUGGGAGCUUGCUCCCAGGCGUCGAGCGGCGGACGGGUGAGUAACACUUAGGAAUCUACCUAGUAGUGGGGGAUAGCUCGGGGAAACUCGAAUUAAUACCGCAUACGUCCUACGGGAGAAAGGGGGCAACUUGUUGCUCUCGCUAUUAGAAUGAGCCUAAGUCGGAUUAGCUAGUUGGUGGGGUAAAGGCCUACCAAGGCGACGAUCUGUAGCUGGUCUGAGAGGAUGAUCAGCCACACCGGGACUGAGACACGGCCCGGACUCCUACGGGAGGCAGCAGUGGGGAAUAUUGGACAAUGGGGGCAACCCUGAUCCAGCCAUGCCGCGUGUGUGAAGAAGGCCUUUUGGUUGUAAAGCACUUUAAGCAGUGAAGAAGACCAUAUGGUUAAUACCCAUAUGCGAUGACAUUAGCUGCAGAAUAAGCACCGGCUAACUCUGUGCCAGCAGCCGCGGUAAUACAGAGGGUGCAAGCGUUAAUCGGAAUUACUGGGCGUAAAGCGAGCGUAGGUGGCUUGAUAAGUCAGAUGUGAAAUCCCCGGGCUUAACCUGGGAACUGCAUCUGAUACUGUCAGGCUAGAAUAGGUGAGAGGAAGGUAGAAUUCCAGGUGUAGCGGUGAAAUGCGUAGAGAUCUGGAGGAAUACCGAUGGCGAAGGCAGCCUUCUGGCAUCAUAUUGACACUGAGGUUCGAAAGCGUGGGUAGCAAACAGGAUUAGAUACCCUGGUAGUCCACGCCGUAAACGAUGUCUACUAGUCGUUGGGUCCCUUGAGGACUUAGUGACGCAGCUAACGCAAUAAGUAGACCGCCUGGGGAGUACGGCCGCAAGGUUAAAACUCAAAUGAAUUGACGGGGGCCCGCACAAGCGGUGGAGCAUGUGGUUUAAUUCGAUGCAACGCGAAGAACCUUACCUGGUCUUGACAUAUCUAGAAUCCUGCAGAGAUGCGGGAGUGCCUUCGGGAAUUAGAAUACAGGUGCUGCAUGGCUGUCGUCAGCUCGUGUCGUGAGAUGUUGGGGUAAGUCCCGCAACGAGCGCAACCCUUGUCCUUAGUAACCAGCGGUUUAAGCCGGGAACUCUAUGGAUACUGCCAGUGACAAACUGGAGGAAGGCGGGGGCGACACCGACCGCUCAAGGUCAU
This 1175-nucleotide ribosomal RNA is filed under the name uncultured Psychrobacter sp. RNAcentral's name for it is "bacterial SSU rRNA". It matches the Rfam family "Bacterial small subunit ribosomal RNA", at positions 38 to 1202 of the family's 1533-position model. Lineage: Bacteria; Pseudomonadati; Pseudomonadota; Gammaproteobacteria; Moraxellales; Moraxellaceae. The record is from RNAcentral.